AUUUAUGCUUUUGGAACUUCGAUAGCCACAUAUGUUUUUACCAGUUUGAUAUCUAAUUUGCUCCUUAUUGAGGAGUCAGUAUAUCGAACUGAUUUUUGGAAAAUGGUGAAGUGUCUGGGGCUUGCUCCGACUUCACCGCGGGUCACCUUGCAUUGCAGUAUCGCAAGGACCGACCCGCAUAAU
Non-coding RNA from Nasonia vitripennis (jewel wasp), 183 nucleotides. The record is from Rfam. Lineage: Eukaryota; Metazoa; Arthropoda; Insecta; Hymenoptera; Pteromalidae.